GCCCUGGUGGCGGAAUGGUAGACGCGGUAGACUCAAAAUCUGCUGUCAGCAAUGGCGUGGGGGUUCAAGUCCCCCCCGGGGUA
This 83-nucleotide transfer RNA is filed under the name Bacteroidales bacterium. RNAcentral describes it as "tRNA-Leu". It matches the Rfam family "tRNA". From Rfam's summary of the family: Transfer RNA (tRNA) molecules are approximately 80 nucleotides in length. Their secondary structure includes four short double-helical elements and three loops (D, anti-codon, and T loops). The record is from RNAcentral. Lineage: Bacteria; Pseudomonadati; Bacteroidota; Bacteroidia; Bacteroidales. RNAcentral also lists the same sequence under 1 other name.